GAGGUGACUAUUAAUUUCCAAGGUGUAAGAUUUGUUCGUGAUAAAACACACUGGUUCUUCAUUCUUGCUCCCCAUUGCUUCUCCAUCUCAAUCCCAAAAUAAGCUGGUGUAGAGAAAGAUCCAUUCUGUCUCAACCUGACUCAAAGGUUGAUCUCUGGAUUUCUCUUCAAAAUAGUCGGUUGUCGUCGUCUAUCUGUGGAUUUCUUUUCUGUAAUCGACUUCGUCUUUCUCCAUCUUUCUCACACUCUCCCCUGUACCAGAUUUUCAUCUGCAAUUUAUCAAAGGGAUUGAUUCAUAUACAUUGAUCGAUUCCUUUCGAAGGGAUUUAACGAUGUAAAGUCACAACCGGUGGUAGACAAGCAGAGACAUUUGGUCCGACGGAAGAUGAGGUCGAUUCUUGUAGGCAGAACAAUUGAGGGAAGCGAUGAUCUGAUGAUGUGAGGAAGACGAAAGAAAUACCAAGUGAUGAGGAUAAAGUCGGAAGAAAUCAAGGAGAAGAUACGUUGAUCUUGAUUAGCGUAUACUUUGUUGCUGACCGAAUGAUUAUCUCAAUAAUAUUUUAGAUUUUCUAUAUUGAAAAUAGAUAUUUAUCCCGUGUUUAAUUAUGUUUAGCCGCAGUUAGUUACAUAAAUUUAAAAAUGGAUUUUU
Cynara cardunculus var. scolymus (artichoke) is the source of this 648-nucleotide long non-coding RNA. RefSeq lists it as uncharacterized. The transcript is spliced from 4 exons. Lineage: Eukaryota; Viridiplantae; Streptophyta; Magnoliopsida; Asterales; Asteraceae. The record is from RefSeq and is a predicted model, not a curated record.